Molecule: long non-coding RNA, 632 nt
Filed under: Ursus maritimus (polar bear)
Lineage: Eukaryota; Metazoa; Chordata; Mammalia; Carnivora; Ursidae
Description: lncRNA (ENSUMAG00000015212.1)
Source: RNAcentral
CACCCCACUCCCACUGCCCUCCUGUUUUCAGAUGCAGCCUCUGCGCUUUACCCCAUCACCUGCAAAUCUCUGGGAUGCUCUGAGAACCAACAUCCAAAGCCACCUUCUGCCGCUCCAUUGAUUUCUACAAGCAGGCCUUUCAGAGCCUUGUUGUUGGACAAGAUCACUUGAAACAGCACUACUCCCCCACCUCAGAGCCAGGAGCCUGUGUGGUGCUUUGAAGUCAGGGGUUGUAAGCCUCGGGAUCGUAAGUGUCACCGUGUCGUAAGCACCUAAUGCCGGAACAGGGCAGGCAUCAUCUGGUCAAGUCGCUGCAGACGAGGAGCUCAACUGAGAUGUGUAGAGGGGUGCGCUGUUGGGUGCCCUAUAACUUCAGCUUGGUUGUGGGAACGGAGGGAGAGAAAAUGACUUUAAGAAACACACUCUGGAGGCGCCUGGGUGGCACAGCGGUUAAGCAUCUGCCUCCGGCUCAGGGCGUGAUCCCGGCGUUACCGGAUCGAGCCCCACGUCAGGCUCCUCCGCUAUGAGCCUGCUUCUUCCUCUCCCACUCCCCCUGCCUGUGUUCCCUCUCUCGCUGGCUGUCUCUAUCUCAGUCAAAUAAAUAAAUAAAAUCUAAAAAAAAAAAAAAAAAA